RNAcentral lists this long non-coding RNA (2603 nucleotides) under Citrus sinensis (sweet orange). Its description in RNAcentral is "long non-coding RNA (CSIN_LNC003902)". The record is from RNAcentral. Lineage: Eukaryota; Viridiplantae; Streptophyta; Magnoliopsida; Sapindales; Rutaceae.
AAUAGUACAAGACUUGAUGAUCAACACACUUCUAGGUAGUCUCUUUUUAUAAGCACCAAGGGAAUCUCCUUUCACUGUUUACAUCAUUACAUCUUAUUCCUAAAGAAUCUUACUUUAUGACUUACUACUACUUCAUAUUACAUCACACAGUAUAUUUUUUUCACUAAGGAAUAUUACUUUACAAUUCACAACACGUGAUACACACUACUAUUAUUAUUAUUUUCGGGUUCAGUUCAGAUCGGGUCAACCUGAUCCGAACGCCCACCCUUAGUUAAAACCAUUUUUUUCUCCAAAAGUGACAGCUAGGGGUAGACAAAUAAUCCGACCUGAUCCAACCUAACCCCGAUCUGAUAAAAAAAAUUUAGGUUAGGAUUGGAUCAUAUUAUUGUCCUAAUCCAGUCGGAUGAUAAUUUAACCAACUUGAUCGGAUCAUGAUCAGCAUCAUAGAACUUGUAUGGAUUUAAAGGAUCUAAUCUGAAGGAUUGGAUAGCCUUUUGAUUGGUUUCUUUUUAAGUCUUGAAAUGAAAAUUUACAAUAUGGGAAUUUUUAUUUAAAGAAAAAGAAGAGGAAGCCUCCAUACUAGAAGUUUGUACCUCAGAUUUGGUUAUCAUGGCUAUCCAUAGUCCUAGAUAGCCCUGAAUUUGGGUAUUAAUAUUCAGGAGGAUACACAACAGACUUUUUUUACCAGUGAUAAGUCAAAACACACAACUCUCUUUGACUUAAUAACUGAGCGCCACACAUUUUAAAAGAAUCUUUUUUUAUGUAUUUCUUAACCAAAUAACCAAACUUUAAAAAUACAACCUUUCUAAUCUUCUAUAAUUUUUCUGAUGUGGAAGAUUCGUUUUAAUAGCAGCUACAGAAGAUACUUUAUUGUAGAAGAGUUUUUAGAAGAUUCUUUUGGAAGUAUUGGCUCUGAUACCAAAAUAGAUAAUUUUGAAUGAAAAGUAUUUUAUUACAAGUAGAGAAGAGAAUAGUACAAGACUUGAUGAUCAACACACUUCUAGGUAGUCUCUUUUUAUAAGCACCAAGGGAAUCUCCUUUCACUGUUUACAUCAUUACAUCUUAUUCCUAAAGAAUCUUACUUUAUGACUUACUACUACUUCAUAUUACAUCACACAGUAUAUUUUUUUCACUAAGGAAUAUUACUUUACAAUUCACAACACGUGAUACACACUACUAUUAUUAUUAUUUUCGGGUUCAGUUCAGAUCGGGUCAACCUGAUCCGAACGCCCACCCUUAGUUAAAACCAUUUUUUUCUCCAAAAGUGACAGCUAGGGGUAGACAAAUAAUCCGACCUGAUCCAACCUAACCCCGAUCUGAUAAAAAAAAUUUAGGUUAGGAUUGGAUCAUAUUAUUGUCCUAAUCCAGUCGGAUGAUAAUUUAACCAACUUGAUCGGAUCAUGAUCAGAUUGAUUGAACCCGAUCCAAUCUGAAAAUCUGAUUGGAUUCGUCUCUUAUAAUAAUAAUAAUAAUAAUAAUAAUAAUAAUAAUAAUAAUAAUAAUAAUAAUAAUUCUUUUCUAAUUGAAUGAACAUUACAACAAGUCGACACUCAACAACACAAAUUUACAAACAUCGGCAGCCGCAACACAGCACACACACACACACACACACACACACAAAACAAACACAGCAAUAGUAGCACUUCAUACAUGCAGUGGUAGCUGGCGGUAGCACUCACCAAACUGAUGCAAACGUUGAGACAUAGACGAAGGAAUCAUCGAUACCCUACGCAACCCACAGUCACUGCUGACCGGAUCUGUUGCUUCGUAACUGGAUCUACUGAUGUUACUACUCCAAGCUCCUUCAAGCUCCAAGCCUCCAACCCGAAUGUUUUAUGGUAUUGUUAAUAAUAAAAUCAAAAAGUUGAUGUAUUGAAAAUUUAGAGCUUGAUUGGUUAAUCCUUGUAAGCUUAAAUCAAAAUUCAAAAGUAUGAAUUGAUUUUUUUUUUUUUUUUUUGUAUGAAUGCCUGAAUAGAUUAAAAUCAAAUAUUCUAUAAUACAUGAUAGUGUAAAGAACAAACACUCGAUUAAAAUAAUACAAUAAAAUAAAAAUCAAACAAUUAAACUAAAACCUCAAAAAAUUAGCCAAAAGUAAUGGAUCAAGCUAGCCACUGACAAUCUGACAUAAACAAGCGAUGCAAAAAAAAUCAUCAAAAAUCAAAAAAGAAAAAGAAAUCAUAAACAAAACAGAAAGACAAGUAAAUAAACCCAUGUUAUUUAUUCCGUGUGUAACGAGCCAAAAAAAAAAAAAAACUUACCUAAAGAAUCAUAAAAAUAAAGAAACGAAUUAAAAAAGAUUUUUGUUUUUCUUCUUUGCAAUCUCAAAGCUAGUUUUGUGUUAAGGGUGAAGAGGAGUGUGUAUCAAAUAAGAAGAAACUUUGUUUAUAUCAAAAAAAAAAAAAAAAAACACACACACACACACACACACAAAACAAAAGAAUGACAAUAGGAAGAGAAGAAUAUGCAAGAAGAUAUUAGGAGCUGUUUCAUAUUUAAAGAAUUAAGACAACAAUUACGUGCAACAAGUUUGUACAAAUUAAUCUAGAAGCGUGUUGGUUAGGCUAUUUGUGAGAGACUUUAAAAAAAUAAAGUGGAAAUAAUAA